Molecule: non-coding RNA, 381 nt
Organism: Myodes glareolus (Bank vole)
Lineage: Eukaryota; Metazoa; Chordata; Mammalia; Rodentia; Cricetidae
Source: RefSeq, a predicted model, not a curated record
AAACACUCAAAAGACCUGGGCCUCAGGAAGCCUGGAAAUUAAAGUCGUUUUUGGAAAUUAUGUUGCAGAUCAGACAAACACCGUGUUCCAUGAAAUCCACUGGUGUUGAAAGAGACUUUCUGCUAAAGUUAUCACAGCUCUUGAGAGGACGGCUAUAUGGCCAGAUUGAUGUCUGAGACUUUAUUGUUCGUUUUAAUAGUUGGAAUUCUCGUCCUUCUACUGUAUGAGUCAAGCACAUGCUAAAUGCUUCGUGGAUAUUGAUCUGGUCCUAUAAUAGGCUUAUGAGGUGAGUGGUUUUACACACUCACCUCUCUCAUUUACACACGAGAGACUGAAGGAGCAGUGAGGUUGGAUGACUUGCCCAGGAUGGCUCAGCUUGCA